This 402-nucleotide ribosomal RNA is filed under the name uncultured bacterium. Its description in RNAcentral is "bacterial SSU rRNA". It matches the Rfam family "Bacterial small subunit ribosomal RNA", at positions 357 to 775 of the family's 1533-position model. The record is from RNAcentral.
GGGAAUAUUGCACAAUGGGCGACAGCCUGAUGCAGCAACGCCGCGUGCGCGAUGAAGGCCUUCGGGUCGUAAAGCGCUUUUCGGGGAGAUGAGGAAGGACAGUAUCCCCGGAAUAAGUCUCGGCUAACUACGUGCCAGCAGCCGCGGUAACACGUAGGAGGCAAGCGUUAUCCGAAUUUACUGGGCGUAAAGCGCGUGCAGGCGGUUCGGUAAGUUGGAUGUGAAAUCUCCCGGCUCAACUGGGAGAGGUCGUUCAAUACUGUCGGACUAGAGGAUGGUAGAGGGAGGUGGAAUUCCCGGUGUAGUGGUGAAAUGCGUAGAUAUCGGGAGGAACACCAGUGGCGAAGGCGGCCUCCUGGACCAUUCCUGACGCUCAGACGCGAAAGCUAGGGGAGCGAACGG